GUGGGGAAUAUUGGGCAAUGGGGGCAACCCUGACCCAGCGACGCCGCGUGAGGGAAGAAGGCCUUAGGGUCGUAAACCUCUGUUGUGUGGGAAGAAGGAAGUGACGGUACCACACGAGGAAGUCCCGGCUAACUACGUGCCAGCAGCCGCGGUAAGACAGAGGGUGCAAGCGUUGUCCGGAUUGACUGGGUGUAAAGGGCGUGUAGGCGGCCGAGUAAGUCUGACGUGAAAACAUCACCGCUCAACGGGAUGUACGCGUUGGAAACUGUUCGGCUUGAGUACAGGAGAGGUUAACGGAAUUCCAGGUGUAGCGGUGGAAUGUGUAGAUAUCUGGAGGAACACCGGUGGCGAAAGCGGUUAACUGGCCUGUGACUGACGCUGAGGCGCGAAAGCCAGGGGAGCAAACGGGAUUAGAAACCCUAGUAGUCC
This 429-nucleotide ribosomal RNA is filed under the name uncultured bacterium. Its description in RNAcentral is "partial 16S ribosomal RNA". It matches the Rfam family "Bacterial small subunit ribosomal RNA", at positions 354 to 796 of the family's 1533-position model. The record is from RNAcentral.